Girardinichthys multiradiatus is the source of this 1299-nucleotide non-coding RNA. NCBI's taxonomy places the organism in Eukaryota, Metazoa, Chordata, Actinopteri, Cyprinodontiformes, Goodeidae. The record is from the annotation of a RefSeq genome assembly.
AGGGCGACAUGAUCCAGUAGGCGGUGCUCUACCUGUGCUCUGUGCUCCAGCAUUGUGUCAAUAAUAAGUGGUGCUGUGAAGAGAACAAUUGUCAGACUGAAUGUUGAACAUCAGCUAGUUUCUCCUGCUGAUUUAAACCUUGUUGGACAGAUGGAACAUUGGCUGUGGAUUAUUCUUGCUGCUCUUUUCUUUGAGUGUAAAGGAGACACAGUGAAGCAGCCAGAAGGAGAUGUUGUUGCUGCUGAAGGAGAAACACGGAUUCUGGGAUGUACUUAUGAAACCAGCUAUACAGCACCUACAUUGUUCUGGUACAAGCAAGAAGGAAACAGUUCUCCAAAGUACAUGCUGAAACAGCUGUCAUCAUCCAAAUAUAAAUCUCCAGAUUUCAACAUUAGCAGAUUUGACGCCGACCUCAACAGUAACAAGAAAUCAUUUCAUCUGAAGAUCCAGGAUCUCCAUCUGUCGGACUCUGCUGUGUACUACUGUGCUCUGCAGCCCACAGUGACAGGAAACACCAGAACUCUGAACAAGAACCUGCAGAGUGAAAACAGGACAAUAUUCUACAACCUCCACUAGAGGGCCUCAUGAAUCAGGCUGCAGGAUCAUGAGGUGCAGCUGCUGGAACCAAACUUUAAUCCACUCUGUGAGGCAGCAGCACCUUCACUUGGUGCCUCUACAACAGUUCAAAGUGGGAGAAGUCAGUGGAAACCAGUGGAUCCUCCAGUUAGGAUGAUCAGAGUUAGGAUACCCACUGGUCCCACCAGCAACUAUGCUGGAGAUAAACCUCCAUGUAUUUAGGAGUCUGGUUAUAUCUCACCAUCAGUCUGUCCAUUGUGGCUGAUAAGGUCUUAACUCCACUGAUCCACCUGCUGCAAUAAUUGAUACUAAUGAUCCCACAGCCUGAAGGGUUCUUUACUCUUCCUGCUCUAGAACAACCUGCAGGGAACAUCUGGGAAUGUGUUGGGUCUAAAAUGACUUGAGGAGCUUCAUUAUGAAGAGACCCAAAGUGUCUGGGCCUCUUCUAACCUCUGUUCCUGUGAAUCUGCUGCUGUUACUGACAGAAGAAACUGAUAAAUAUAUUUAUUUUAUUAAAAGCUUUGUAAUCCAGCAAAGAUACUGAUUGUCAAUUUUUUUUUUCCAUCUGAAGUCACUUCAGCAUUUUCCCAAACUUGAAAAGGCUUCCUCAAAGAGACGCAGGAACAACUCAACUCAGUCACAUUUGUUUAUUCAUCCUUUCUUUUUAGAUGGAUUUCAACAGCAGUGCAACAUUCGUAGGACAUAAGUAGGUUGAUAACCUAC